Cavia porcellus (domestic guinea pig) is the source of this 70-nucleotide non-coding RNA. The record is from Rfam. Lineage: Eukaryota; Metazoa; Chordata; Mammalia; Rodentia; Caviidae.
GGGGAUUUAGCUCAAAGGUAUAAGUGCCUGCCUUGCAAGCAGGUGGUCAUGAGUUCGAUUCCCAGUACCG